AGCGAACGCUGGCGGCAGGCCUAACACAUGCAAGUCGAACGGAUCCUUCGGGAUUAGUGGCGGACGGGUGAGUAACACGUGGGAACGUGCCUUUUGGUUCGGAACAACUCAGGGAAACUUGAGCUAAUACCGGAUGUGCCCUUCGGGGGAAAGAUUUAUCGCCAUUAGAGCGGCCCGCGUCUGAUUAGCUUGUUGGUGAGGUAAAGGCUCACCAAGGCUACGAUCAGUAGCUGGUCNGAGAGGAUGAUCAGCCACACUGGGACUGAGACACGGCCCAGACUCCUACGGGAGGCAGCAGUGGGGAAUCUUGCGCAAUGGGCGAAAGCCUGACGCAGCCAUGCCGCGUGAAUGAUGAAGGUCUUAGGAUUGUAAAAUUCUUUCACCGGGGACGAUAAUGACGGUACCCGGAGAAGAAGCUCCGGCUAACUUCGUGCCAGCCGCCGCCGUAAG
RNAcentral lists this ribosomal RNA (450 nucleotides) under uncultured bacterium. RNAcentral's name for it is "bacterial SSU rRNA". It matches the Rfam family "Bacterial small subunit ribosomal RNA", at positions 29 to 524 of the family's 1533-position model. The record is from RNAcentral.